AAAAAUUCAAUGUUCAUAAUUCGCCAUCAAAAAAUUCAAUGUUAAAAAAUUCGCUGUCAAAAAAUUCGCUGUACUCAGGCGUAAACAAUCGAUCCUGGCCAAAAUCGAGCCAACGCCCAGCAAAUCACGUGGCGCUCCUCCGGUCAUGUGACGCAGACGGUUCACCUCACAAGACCGGGGUCAACCACAGCUACCAGCAUGAACGACGGCGCUUCAAUGCACAAUGAGGGACGUCUGCAGCGACUGAGAAAGAGUCUCACCACAUCCUGACAUGAGGAAAAAGACUUUAUUGAAGACUACAAUGAGAAAAACUAUCCAGACAGCAGACGGCUGCAUUCAAGAUGUUAAGUUAAAGGAGUUUUAUUCGUGACGUAUAACCAAUCAAAUCACUCCAGAAGACAGAGCGACCACAGGCCUCCGUUGACUCGUCCCGCCUGCCGUCUCUGGAGCUGAAGCUGGAUUGGAACAGACCAAAGUACAGU
Molecule: long non-coding RNA, 482 nt
Organism: Amphiprion ocellaris (clown anemonefish)
Lineage: Eukaryota; Metazoa; Chordata; Actinopteri; Pomacentridae
Source: Ensembl